This 433-nucleotide ribosomal RNA is filed under the name uncultured bacterium. RNAcentral's name for it is "partial 16S ribosomal RNA". It matches the Rfam family "Bacterial small subunit ribosomal RNA", at positions 28 to 507 of the family's 1533-position model. The record is from RNAcentral.
GACGAACGCUGGCGGCAUGCCUAACACAUGCAAGUCGAACGAAACCUUCGGGUCUAGUGUCUCACGGUGGCGUAAGGCGUGGGAACCUGCCCUUAGGUUCGGAAUAACUCCCCGAAAGGGGUGCUAAUACCGGAUAAGGUCUUCUAACCAAAGAUUUAUCGCGUUUGGAUGGUCCCGCGUUGGAUUAGCUCGUUGUUAGGGUAAAAGCAUACCAAGGCGUGGAUCCAUAGCUUGUCUGAGAGGAUGAUCAGCCACACUGGGACUGAGACACGGCCCAGAAUCCUCCGCGAGGGAGGAGUGGGGAAUAUUGGAACACGGGCGAAAGGAUGAUCCACCACGGAUGGGUGAGCGCUGAAGGUAUUAGGGUUCUAAAGCUCUUUUAACCGGGCUGAUAAUGACAGUACCGGGAGAAUAAGCCCCGGCUAACUCCGUG